This 656-nucleotide ribosomal RNA is filed under the name uncultured bacterium. RNAcentral describes it as "bacterial SSU rRNA". It matches the Rfam family "Bacterial small subunit ribosomal RNA", at positions 8 to 653 of the family's 1533-position model. The record is from RNAcentral.
AGGGUUUGAUCAUGGCUCAGAUUGAACGCUGGCGGUAUGCUUAACACAUGCAAGUCGAACGGAAACGAUGGAAGCUUGCUUCCAGGCGUCGAGUGGCGGACGGGUGAGUAAUGCUUGGGAAUCUGCCUAAUAGUGGGGGAAAACUCGGGGAAACUCGGGCUAAUACCGCAUAAUCUCUUCGGAGGAAAGAGGGCCUCUACAUGUAAGCUCUCGCUAAUAGAUGAGCCCAAGUCAGAUUAGCUUGUUGGUGAGGUAAAAGCUCACCAAGGCUACGAUCUGUAGCUGGUCUGAGAGGACGAUCAGCCACACUGGGACUGAGACACGGCCCAGACUCCUACGGGAGGCAGCAGUGGGGAAUAUUGCACAAUGGGCGCAAGCCUGAUGCAGCAAUACCGCGUGUGUGAAGAAGGCCUUAGGGUUGUAAAGCACUUUCAAUAGAGAAGAAAAGCUUAGAGUUAAUAACUCUAAGCAUUGACGUAACCUAUAGAAGAAGCACCGGCUAAAUCCGUGCCAGCAGCCGCGGUAAUACGGAUGGUGCGAGCGUUAAUCGGAAUUACUGGGCGUAAAGCGCGCGUAGGCUGUUUUAUAAGUCGGAUGUGAAAUCCCCGGGCUCAACCUGGGAACUGCAUCCGAAACUAUUUAACUAGAGUAUGGGA